GCGUCUGUAGCUCAGCUGGAUAGAGCAACGGCCUUCUAAGCCGUAGGUCUUGGGUUCGAAUCCCCACAGACGCGCCA
This 77-nucleotide transfer RNA is filed under the name Clostridiales bacterium. RNAcentral's name for it is "tRNA-Arg". It matches the Rfam family "tRNA". Rfam says of the family: Transfer RNA (tRNA) molecules are approximately 80 nucleotides in length. RNAcentral also lists the same sequence under 1 other name. Lineage: Bacteria; Bacillati; Bacillota; Clostridia; Eubacteriales. The record is from RNAcentral.